GUGAGUGGGAGGGACAGUGUGGGACAGCCCGAGAGGAGGCCGAGGCUCGACGGGGCGGCGGUCGCAGGGGUCGUGGGUCACCAAGGAGGGCGCGGGACGGCGGGCAGUGACACCGGGGCGGGGACUCUUACCGAGGAGGAGGAAAAGAAGAGGGAGGGCCGAUAGCAUCCUGGGUUGAACAGGGGUGCCGGCAGGGUCCCGGGGCGCCUCUUGUCUACCUGGCAGGAAGCUCCUCGCCGGGUGGGGGCUGCAUAGCCCCGGUGCGACCCAGGCUCGGGGUGCCAGGGCUGGACGCACGGCGGAGAGGAACAGGCGUGACGCCUCUUGCUAACUUCAGAGUUGAUCGCUCCUUACCAGUGCCCGGCGGUGCUCGCCCGGAAGGCCGCGAGCGCCCCGGCCAGGCCCGGCCGCACCUGCCGGGCUCGACGCUGCGUCCUCCGCGGACCAAACUUUGUGGACUGCCCGUCCCCGAGCCGGCGUGCGGCUCGGUCCCCGCGGCCCUUAGGGGACGGCGGCUUUGCACAGCUCGCGGUGCCCCAGCGGACCCCGGCCGAAGCCCAGCAGCCGGCGACGAGGGGCGCGGCCAGCUUGGCCCCACCCCUGCCAGUCACCGCGCGGCCACGCCCACCUGCGCUCAGCUCCUUUCCGGGUUGCUUUUGCCGUCACGCUCCGGAUCGCCCUUUGGCUGCCGCCUGCGUUAUCUUUCAGAUGUGUCUUGUCAAAGGAUGUCUGCUUUUCCCGCCGUAACUGCUACGUGUCUUUGGACCCUUAAAUCCUCAGUACUUUUUCUUCACCCAGCGCCUUAGAUCCCGUAGCGCUUCUGGUAGUAAGCCUUUACUGAACCAAUUACCAGGCGCUAUUAUAAUUAUCUGUUACAAUGUUUAUUCAUCACUCCCGCCCCCGCCUCAGCUUUGGAAACUGACACUUCCUGUAGGCUGGGGCCUAGACUGGGUACCUUUGUCCCAAGAGUGUUGCUUGCUCUCCUGCUGAGAUGCAGUGAUCUCUACGAAUGGUAAAGACAUAAUAUGGCUUCACUUGCUGGAUCCGUGAACUUGAGAAAAUUACUCCUCCGUUCAAGCAGUCCUGUAAAAAUUGAGGGUCAUGAUAGUGUGACUCCCUCCUAUGGUACUUGUGAACAUUUAGGGUAACAUUGUAGAUUGAGCCCUAAGCACGUUGGCAGACAUAGGAAGUGAGGUGUUUCUAUCUGAUAGCAACAAUUAUUCUCAGUUACAGGGUAGUAUUAUUAAAUUUUGUGGGUUUCCGGUUUCCUGUGGCACAGGUGGGUAAUAUUUACAAAAGAAUAACAAGUUGAAUAUUUUUUUUCACAUUUCAGGCUUAUACCUAAGUACAUUUAGUAUACAUAUAGUAAAUAUUUAACAGCGAGAUGUUUGUUCCUCUUGUCAACAGUCCUGUGAGGUAGUCUAUGGUUACUUCCAUUUUACAGAUAAGGAAGUGCUGGCAUGGAGAAGUUUAGUAAUACCUUCCCCAAAUCUGAAUAUUCAAAUCUGAAUGGCUCCCACUGUUUUAAACAAUUUGAGCACCAACAUAGUGCCACAGGUGGGAAAUUCCAUACAGUAAAACUUUGUUUCAUCUUCAGCAUUGCUAAAAAUACUUGAUUAAAUUUAUCAUCAGGCUACUUGUGAUGUGUAUAUGAAACAUGAAUAAAUGCCAUCUACCUGUGUGCUGUGGCAUACAUUGCAA
This 1701-nucleotide long non-coding RNA is filed under the name Mus musculus (house mouse). RNAcentral's name for it is "predicted gene 10366". The record is from RNAcentral. Lineage: Eukaryota; Metazoa; Chordata; Mammalia; Rodentia; Muridae.